RNAcentral lists this ribosomal RNA (460 nucleotides) under uncultured bacterium. RNAcentral describes it as "partial 16S ribosomal RNA". It matches the Rfam family "Bacterial small subunit ribosomal RNA", at positions 338 to 795 of the family's 1533-position model. The record is from RNAcentral.
CCUACGGGUGGCAGCAGUGAGGAAUAUUGGUCAAUGGACGAGAGUCUGAACCAGCCAAGUAGCGUGAAGGAUGACUGCCCUAUGGGUUGUAAACUUCUUUUAUAAAGGAAUAAAACGAGGCACGUGUGCCUUUUUGCAUUUACUUUAUGAAUAAGGAUCGGCUAACUCCGUGCCAGCAGCCGCGGUAAUACGGAGGAUCCGAGCGUUCUCCGGAUUUCUUGGGUUUAAAGGGAGCGUAGAUGGGUUGUUAAGUCAGUUGUGAAAGUUUGCGGCUCAACCGUAAAAGUGCAAUUGAUACUGGCAGUCUAGAGUACAGUUGAGGUAGGCGGAAUUCGUGGUGUAGCGGUGAAAUGCUUAGAUAUCACGAAGAACCACGAUUGCGAAGGCAGCUUACUAAACUGUGACUGACAUUGAUGCUCGAAAGUGUGGGUAUCAAACAGGAUUAGAUACCCCGGUAGUC